CGUAGGGGCGGAGCGUUGUCCGGAUUUACUGGGCGUAAAGGGUGAGUAGGCGGUUAUAUGUGUCAGAUGUAAAAGGCUAUGGCUUAACCAUGGUUAGCAUUUGAAACUGUAUGACUUGAGUGCAGGAGAGGUAAGUGGAAUUCCUAGUGUAGCGGUGAAAUGCGUAGAUAUUAGGAGGAACACCAGUGGCGAAGGCGACUUACUGGACUGUAACUGACGCUGAGUCACGAAAGCGUGGUAGCAAACAGGAUU
Molecule: ribosomal RNA, 252 nt
Filed under: uncultured bacterium
Lineage: Bacteria
Description: partial 16S ribosomal RNA
Rfam family: Bacterial small subunit ribosomal RNA
Source: RNAcentral